This 253-nucleotide ribosomal RNA is filed under the name uncultured bacterium. RNAcentral describes it as "partial 16S ribosomal RNA". It matches the Rfam family "Bacterial small subunit ribosomal RNA", at positions 524 to 776 of the family's 1533-position model. The record is from RNAcentral.
GACAGAGGGUGCAAACGUUGCUCGGAAUUACUGGGCGUAAAGCGCGUGUAGGCUGACCGGAAAGUCGGACGUGGAAGCCCUGGGCUCAACCCAGGAACUGCACUCGAAACUCCCGGUCUAGAGUGGUGGAGAGGGAAGUGGAAUUCCUGGUGUAGCGGUGAAAUGCAUAGAGAUGUGGAGGAACACCGAUGGCGAAGGCAGCCUCCUGGGCCAACACUGACGCUCAUGCACGAAAGCGUGGGGAGCAAACAGG